RNAcentral lists this ribosomal RNA (330 nucleotides) under Xylaria sp. RNAcentral's name for it is "5.8S ribosomal RNA". The stretch from base 176 to 329 matches the Rfam family "5.8S ribosomal RNA". The record is from RNAcentral. Lineage: Eukaryota; Fungi; Ascomycota; Sordariomycetes; Xylariales; Xylariaceae.
AAACAACUCCUAAACCCAUGUGAAACCUACCUUUGUUGCCUCGGCAGGUCUGCAACUUACCCUGAGGGUACCUACCCUGUAGGUACCUUACCCGGUAGUUGCGGGCAUAACCUGCCGGUGGUCUACUAAACUCUGUUUACUAUGUCAUUCUGAAUAAUAUAACUAAAUAAGUUAAAACUUUCAACAACGGAUCUCUUGGUUCUGGCAUCGAUGAAGAACGCAGCGAAAUGCGAUAAGUAAUGUGAAUUGCAGAAUUCAGUGAAUCAUCGAAUCUUUGAACGCACAUUGCGCCCAUUAGUAUUCUAGUGGGCAUGCCUGUUCGAGCGUCAU